UAAAAACCCUCUCCCAUCCACAAAAUAAACACACGCACACACACUUCUCAUUUGUUCAAGCGUAAUGGAUAGAUAUUCAUAUUCCCAUCUCUCCUUCUUUAUAACAUCAUUCUUAUUACUUCAAUGGUUGAUUGAUUAUAGUUCAGCCAACUCAGAUCGUUCUUCACUUACUGCCUUCAAAUCUCAAAUCUCUUCCGAUCCCUAUAAUACACUGACAAAAAACUGGAGCAGGGAGAGCAGUAUUUGUAGUUGGAUCGGAGUUACUUGUGAUUCUCGGUAUCACAGGGUGACUCAAUUGAAUAUAUCAUCCAUGGGUCUUGUAGGAAUCAUUCCACCUGAAAUCGGAAAUCUUUCUUUUCUCAUUUCUUUAGAUAUGAGCAACAACUCUUUUCAAGGUCCCAUUCCCUCAUCUAUUUUCAAUAUGUCAAGUUUAAAAGUUUUGAAUUUAAGGAAUAAUAGUUUGUCUAGUAGUCUACCUCUUGAUAUCUGCAAACACAACGGGCAUAGACUGAAGUAUCUUCGUAUUUCUUACAACGAGUUGUAUGGGAAAAUACCAUCGAGUUUGGAGCAGUGUUCGAAGCUUGAGUAUCUUUCUUUGGCAAGAAACAAAUUCAGUGGGAACGUGCCAAUAAAAAAAUUGGGAACUUGACAUUGCUUCAACAACUAUUCUAAGGUUCCAACAAUUUAAGAGGUAAUAUUCCAAGAGAAAUCGGUGCUCUUACUAAUUUACAAAUGUUGGACCUUCGUAACAACCACUUUAAUGGACAAGUGCCUGCACAAAUUGGGAACUUGACAUUGCUUCAAGAAUUAUACCUAAUUACCAACAAUUUAACCUGUACGUAAUAUUCCAAAGGAUAUGGGGAAGUUGAUAGUGCUUCAAUUGUUAUACCUUAGUCAAAACAAGUUCAGUGGUUCUAUAGCAAAGGAAAUUGGGAACAUGACAUCCUUGUUCUACUUAGCGCUUGACAUUAAUGUUAUAAGCGGUCAUAUUCCAAAAGAAAUUGGUAACAUUACGCCUCUUCGCCAGCUAUGGCUGUACAACAAUAAUUUAAGUGGUAUGAUUUCAUGCCUCUUUAUAUAUUAUUGGUUACAAAGUUACAUUAAUUAGAUAUUAUGAGUUGCUAUGUUCAAAAUUUGUACGGCCAUGUAAUAUUCCAAAAGAAAUCGGUCGUCUCAAUAGUUUGGAGACAUUGAAUAUCGCAUCCAACAAAGUUAGUGGGCCAUUGCCUAGGGAAAUUGGCAACCUAACACACACCAGUCAGUUGUGGCUUUUCGACAAUAAUAUAAAUGGACCAAUACCUUCCACCAUUGGGAAUAUGUCCGAGCUGAUUUUUGUAGAACUCACUCAGAACAAAUUAAUUGGAGAGAUUCCAUCAUCUAUUUGUAACUUGAGAUCGCUUUUAGUUCUCUAUCUAUCAAACAAUCAUUUGGAAGGACCAAUCCCAAAUUGUUUGGGAAACCUCAACAGUUCAUUGGCGGUUCUUCAUUUGGGUGCAAACAAAAUCACUGCCCUUCAAUCAACAUUUGAAAAGGGAUGCAGUCUUCAAUCCCUAUUCUGGCCAUUAAAUUGGAAGGAAUACCUCACUCCCUAAUCAACUGUGAAAGUAUGAGAGGCAUUCAUCUUGGUGACAAUGAAAUACGAGGUACAUUUCCCUUCUGGAUGGAAACACUCCCUCAGCUUCGCGUCCUCGUGUUGAGGUCUAACAAGUUGAAUGGUAAUAUAUUGGUGACUUCAACGACUGAGCAUCCGUUUCCAAAGUUGCAAGUCUUUGAUAUAUCAAGAAAUGCAUUCGUUGGCUCGCUGCCCGAUAGAUAUUUCAAAAAUUUUGGAGUCAUGAUAGAUGCCAAGGAAAAUAUGACACGCGAUGCGAAUGAUGUCUUCCUACGGUUUUUCGACUUCAAUUUCACUUUGAAAGGUUUGGAUUGUCAUGGAACAUAUUGGGUGGGAAAAUUCCAAGUGAAUUGAUUGAGUUGACAUUUCUUUCAAAAUUAAACCUUUCUAUGAAUAAUCUUGUGGGCAGUAUACCAUUAUCUAAGCAGUUUUCUAUAUUUCAGAAUGAUUCAUAAAUAGGAAACUUGGGAUUGUGUGGAGUUCCGUUGAUGAAACAGUGUGAAAUAACUGAUGGAAAACCAAUUCCUCCAGAAGAUAAUGAUGAUGAAGAGUCUGGAUUUAUAGAUGGAUUUGGUUGGCGAAGUGUGGUGAUGGGGUAUGGACGUGGAUUUAUUAUUGGAAUUGGAAUUGGUUACAUGAUUAUAAGAAGCGGAAGGCCAAGAUGGUUAGUGGACUUUUUGGGGUUGGAUAUUAUAUAUAGUAAUAAUUAGAUGAAGAGAGAAAUGGAGCAAAAGGAACCCCAAGGAGAAGGUGAUUCAAGACAAUCAUUGUGGUUUUCUUAGAGUUUGAUUUUGCAUGUUGUGACUUGUGAUCAAUUGAUGUGUAAUGUUUUACAAAUAAUGAACUUUGAAAAAUUGCAAUAUUGUAUUUCUAUGUUGGGUUAUUGUGGUUUAUUCUGAAAGCUUAA
Molecule: RNA transcript, 2519 nt
Organism: Salvia hispanica
Lineage: Eukaryota; Viridiplantae; Streptophyta; Magnoliopsida; Lamiales; Lamiaceae
Source: RefSeq, a predicted model, not a curated record